This 254-nucleotide ribosomal RNA is filed under the name uncultured bacterium. RNAcentral's name for it is "partial 16S ribosomal RNA". It matches the Rfam family "Bacterial small subunit ribosomal RNA", at positions 524 to 776 of the family's 1533-position model. The record is from RNAcentral.
GACGGAGGGUGCUAGCGUUGUUCGGAAUCACUGGGCGUAAAGGGCGCGUAGGCGGCCUUGGCAGUCGGCUCGUGAAAGCCCGGGGCUCAACCCCGGAGGUGCGGCCGAAACACCAAGGCUGGAGGCCGGAAGAGGAGGGUGGAAUACCCAGUGUAGAGGUGAAAUUCGUAGAUAUUGGGUGGAACACCGGUGGCGAAAGCGGCUCUCUGGUCCGGACCUGACGCUGAGGCGCGAAAGCGUGGGGAGCAAACAGG